Molecule: ribosomal RNA, 965 nt
Filed under: Arthrobacter sp. TS1213R
Lineage: Bacteria; Bacillati; Actinomycetota; Actinomycetes; Micrococcales; Micrococcaceae
Description: bacterial SSU rRNA
Rfam family: Bacterial small subunit ribosomal RNA
Source: RNAcentral
AUUAUUGGGCGUAAAGAGCUCGUAGGCGGUUUGUCGCGUCUGCUGUGAAAGCCCGGGGCUCAACCCCGGGUCUGCAGUGGGUACGGGCAGACUAGAGUGAUGUAGGGGAGACUGGAAUUCCUGGUGUAGCGGUGAAAUGCGCAGAUAUCAGGAGGAACACCGAUGGCGAAGGCAGGUCUCUGGGCAUUAACUGACGCUGAGGAGCGAAAGCAUGGGGAGCGAACAGGAUUAGAUACCCUGGUAGUCCAUGCCGUAAACGUUGGGCACUAGGUGUGGGGGACAUUCCACGUUUUCCGCGCCGUAGCUAACGCAUUAAGUGCCCCGCCUGGGGAGUACGGCCGCAAGGCUAAAACUCAAAGGAAUUGACGGGGGCCCGCACAAGCGGCGGAGCAUGCGGAUUAAUUCGAUGCAACGCGAAGAACCUUACCAAGGCUUGACAUGAACCGGAAAGGCCUGGAAACAGGUCCCCCACUUGUGGCCGGUUUACAGGUGGUGCAUGGUUGUCGUCAGCUCGUGUCGUGAGAUGUUGGGUUAAGUCCCGCAACGAGCGCAACCCUCGUUCUAUGUUGCCAGCGGGUUAUGCCGGGGACUCAUAGGAGACUGCCGGGGUCAACUCGGAGGAAGGUGGGGACGACGUCAAAUCAUCAUGCCCCUUAUGUCUUGGGCUUCACGCAUGCUACAAUGGCCGGUACAAAGGGUUGCGAUACUGUGAGGUGGAGCUAAUCCCAAAAAGCCGGUCUCAGUUCGGAUUGAGGUCUGCAACUCGACCUCAUGAAGUUGGAGUCGCUAGUAAUCGCAGAUCAGCAACGCUGCGGUGAAUACGUUCCCGGGCCUUGUACACACCGCCCGUCAAGUCACGAAAGUUGGUAACACCCGAAGCCGGUGGCCUAACCCCUUGUGGGAGGGAGCCGUCGAAGGUGGGACCGGCGAUUGGGACUAAGUCGUAACAAGGUAACCCGUAACCC